UGGUGGUGAGAACUUGGCUUCUGAUGAAACCAGUGGUUAUUAAACGGCCGUGGAUUUGGUUUACGUCGGUCAGAGUCCUGCAUUUCUGGAGAAGAGCUAAAGUUGGCAGUGUUGAGUUCCAAGGCUGGUUUAGAUUCGCACAGGUAAGCAUCAACUCUAUUUUCUGUGUUUUAGAUUCUACAAUCCCUUGUUAGAAAUUAGUGUGUCCAUACUCUAGAAAUUAUCAUCUUUAGAUAUUAUUUGAACAAAAAGACAAACGCUUCAGAUAUUAUCAUCUUUCAACGGUUUUCAACGGCCAAAAUUCAUGCACUAUCCAGCUACACGAUGGAGUGGAUUGAGUACAAAACGACGUCGUUUGUUUCUUUCAAAAGAAAAAUGAGCCUGGUUAAAGCCCACAAGUACGACCAAGAAAGAG
RNAcentral lists this long non-coding RNA (415 nucleotides) under Gossypium barbadense (sea-island cotton). RNAcentral's name for it is "long non-coding RNA (GBAR_LNC020547)". Lineage: Eukaryota; Viridiplantae; Streptophyta; Magnoliopsida; Malvales; Malvaceae. The record is from RNAcentral.